CACGUCCGGAUGAAAAGGGAAUCGGGUGCGAAUCCCGGACAGUCCCGCUGCUGUGAGCUCUGUAUGUACUUUCCGAAUUCUGUCGGUCACUGACGUUCUGCGUCGGGAAGGCCUCGGAAAGAAGAGCGAGUCAGAAGACCUGCCGCAAUCGUUU
Molecule: non-coding RNA, 154 nt
Filed under: uncultured Alistipes sp.
Lineage: Bacteria; Pseudomonadati; Bacteroidota; Bacteroidia; Bacteroidales; Rikenellaceae
Source: RNAcentral